Molecule: ribosomal RNA, 492 nt
Filed under: uncultured bacterium
Lineage: Bacteria
Description: partial 16S ribosomal RNA
Rfam family: Bacterial small subunit ribosomal RNA
Source: RNAcentral
AGUGAACGCUGGCGGUAGGCCUAACACAUGCAAGUCGAACGGCAGCACAGUAAGAGCUUGCUCUUACGGGUGGCGAGUGGCGGACGGGUGAGGAAUACAUCGGAAUCUACUUUUUCGUGGGGGAUAACGUAGGGAAACUUACGCUAAUACCGCAUACGACCUACGGGUGAAAGCAGGGGAUCUUCGGACCUUUCGCGAUUGAAUGAGCCGAUGUCGGAUUAGCUAGUUGGCGGGGUAAGGGCCCACCAAGGCGACGAUCCGUAGCUGGUCUGAGAGGAUGAUCAGCCACACUGGAACUGAGACACGGCCCAGACUCCUACGGGAGGCAGCAGUGGGGAAUAUUGGACAAAGGGCGCAAGCCUGAUCCAGCCAUACCGCGUGGGUGAAGAAGGCCUUCGGGUUGUAAAGCCCUUUUGUUGGGAAAGAAAAGCAGCAGGUUAAUACCCCGCUGUUCUGACGGUACCCAAAGAAUAAGCACCGGCUAACUUCGUG